AUUGAACGCUGGCGGCAGGCCUAACACAUGCAAGUCGAGCGGAUGAAGGGAGCUUGCUCCUGGAUUCAGCGGCGGACGGGUGAGUAAUGCCUAGGAAUCUGCCUGGUAGUGGGGGAUAACGUCCGGAAACGGGCGCUAAUACCGCAUACGUCCUGAGGGAGAAAGUGGGGGAUCUUGGACCUCACGCUAUCAGAUGAGCCUAGGUCGGAUUAGCUAGUUGGUGGGGUAAAGGCCUACCAAGGCGACGAUCCGUAACUGGUCUGAGAGGAUGAUCAGUCACACUGGAACUGAGACACGGUCCAGACUCCUACGGGAGGCAGCAGUGGGGAAUAUUGGACAAUGGGCGAAAGCCUGAUCCAGCCAUGCCGCGUGUGUGAAGAAGGUCUUCGGAUUGUAAAGCACUUUAAGUUGGGAGGAAGGGCAGUAAGUUAAUACCUUGCUGUUUUGACGUUACCAACAGAAUAAGCACCGGCUAACUUCGUG
This 483-nucleotide ribosomal RNA is filed under the name uncultured bacterium. RNAcentral's name for it is "partial 16S ribosomal RNA". It matches the Rfam family "Bacterial small subunit ribosomal RNA", at positions 30 to 507 of the family's 1533-position model. The record is from RNAcentral.